UACGAAGGGGGCUAGCGUUGUUCGGAUUUACUGGGCGUAAAGCGCACGUAGGCGGAUCGUUAAGUCGGGGGUGAAAUCCUGGAGCUCAACUCCAGAACUGCCUUCGAUACUGGCGACCUUGAGUCCGGAAGAGGUGAGUGGAACUCCUAGUGUAGAGGUGGAAUUCGUAGAUAUUAGGAAGAACACCAGUGGCGAAGGCGGCUCACUGGUCCGGUACUGACGCUGAGGUGCGAAAGCGUGGGGAGCAAACAGG
This 253-nucleotide ribosomal RNA is filed under the name uncultured bacterium. Its description in RNAcentral is "partial 16S ribosomal RNA". It matches the Rfam family "Bacterial small subunit ribosomal RNA", at positions 524 to 776 of the family's 1533-position model. The record is from RNAcentral.